Molecule: ribosomal RNA, 468 nt
Filed under: uncultured bacterium
Lineage: Bacteria
Description: partial 16S ribosomal RNA
Rfam family: Bacterial small subunit ribosomal RNA
Source: RNAcentral
GACGAACGCUGGCGGCGUGCUUAACACAUGCAAGUCGAACGGAAAGGCCCUGCUUUUGCGGGGUGCUCGAGUGGCGAACGGGUGAGUAACACGUGAGUAACCUGCACUUGACUUUGGGAUAACUUCAGGAAACAGGGGCUAAUACCGGAUAGGAGCUCCUGCUGCAUGGUGGGGGAUGGAAAGUUUCGGCGGUUGGGGAUAGACUCGCGGCUUAUCCGCUUGUUGGUGGGGUAGUGGAUUACCAAGGCUUUGACGGGUAGCCGGCCUGAGAGGGUGACCGGCCACAUUGGGACUGAGAUACGGCGCAGACUCGUACGGGAGGCAACAGUCGGGAAUAUUGCACAAUGGGCGGAAGCCAGAUGCAGCAACGUCGCGUGCGGGAUGACGUCCUUCGGGGUGUAAACCGCUUUCGCCUGUGACGAAGCGUGAGUGACGGUAAUGGGUAAGGAAGCAACGGCUAACUACGUG